GGGCUUGUAGUCUAACCUGGAUAGGACGGAAGCUUGCGGAGCUUUUGAUCUGGGUUCAAAUCCCAGCGAGCCCA
This 74-nucleotide transfer RNA is filed under the name Candidatus Aenigmatarchaeota archaeon. RNAcentral describes it as "tRNA-Arg". It matches the Rfam family "tRNA". Rfam says of the family: Transfer RNA (tRNA) molecules are approximately 80 nucleotides in length. Their secondary structure includes four short double-helical elements and three loops (D, anti-codon, and T loops). Lineage: Archaea; Nanobdellati; Candidatus Aenigmatarchaeota. The record is from RNAcentral.